AUGGCGACGCGGAUCUCGCCAAUGGCCGCGGUGAUGGCACUGCUGCUGGCCUCACUGGUUGCGCUAUCCUCGGCGCACGACGGACACCACCACGCGCCGGUUGAAGCGCCGACACCACCAUGGUCACCAGGCUCCAGCGCGAGCCCUAGUCACCAUCAUCGUCAUCAUCAUGGUCCGGCGUCGGCCCCUGCUCCUGCUCACGGUCACCACCAUCAUGGUUACCACACUCCAGCACUGAGCCCUAGUCACCAUCAUCGUCAUUAUGCUCCAUCGCCGAGCCCUAGUCACCAUAAUCAUCAUCAACAUGGUCCGUCACCGGCGCCUGCUCCAGCUCACGAUGCUCACCACGCUCCAGCGCCGAGCGCUAGUCACCAUCAUCAUCAUGGGCCGUCAUCGGCUCCUGCUCCCGCUCACGGUGACCACCACCAUGGUCAUGACGCUCCAGCGCCGAGCCCUAAUCAGCAUCAUCAUCAUCACCAUGGUCCGUCGUCAGCGCCUACUCCCGCUCACAAUGGUCACCAUGCUCCGGCGCCGAGCCCUACUCACCAUCAACAUCUUCACCAUGGUCCGUCGUCAGCGCCUGCUCCCGCUCACAAUGGUCACCACGCUCAAGCGCCGAGCCCUACUCACCAUCAUCGUCAUCACCAUGGUCCAGCAUCGGCGCCUGCUCCCGCUCACGGCGACCACCGCCAUGGUCACCACGCUCCACCGCCGUCGCCUAUCCACGUCGCCCCAGCUCCUGCACCCAGCCAGAACUCCCAAGCGCCGUCAGCAGCCUCUGGAGACUACUACCACUCCCCAGCUCCAGCGCCUGGUCCGGCAAGUUCUUCUUUCCGCCACACAGUCACCGGCGGAGUUGGUCUAGUCGCCGCGGCUGCAGUGUCCGCCGUUUUGCUUCUUCUUUAG
This 906-nucleotide ribosomal RNA is filed under the name Triticum aestivum (bread wheat). RNAcentral describes it as "partial small subunit ribosomal RNA". The record is from RNAcentral. Lineage: Eukaryota; Viridiplantae; Streptophyta; Magnoliopsida; Poales; Poaceae.